ACAUUGCUAGCUACCCACUUAAUAUUAUAUAUUUUUUCUGUUCUUCCUCAGUGACAUAUAUUUAUUCAUUUGGAUAAUCACCAAUAUAAUCAACAAAAAAGACUUAAUUUUUCUAACCUUCCUUUUUGAAGCUUUGAAAUAUUCUUGUCUCCUCCUAUAUGUUCAGUCUUCACCAAAUUAUGAACAUUCUGCUACAGUUAUCUG
Molecule: long non-coding RNA, 204 nt
Filed under: Bos taurus (domestic cattle)
Lineage: Eukaryota; Metazoa; Chordata; Mammalia; Artiodactyla; Bovidae
Description: long non-coding RNA NONBTAT006699
Source: RNAcentral